UGCUGACUGUCUCCAAUCUAUUCUCCUUCUACAUAUUGCUGCCAAAGUUAAACAACUAGUAUCAAACUUUCAGUUUGAUUCAGCAUGCCCAAAAAGAGUUCUUCAAAGAAACAACUAAAUGCUGAUAUAGAGCAGGGAAAACCUUCUCCAUUGAAUGUGCCCAAAAAGAUUU
Populus euphratica (Euphrates poplar) is the source of this 172-nucleotide long non-coding RNA. RefSeq lists it as uncharacterized. The transcript is spliced from 2 exons. Lineage: Eukaryota; Viridiplantae; Streptophyta; Magnoliopsida; Malpighiales; Salicaceae. The record is from RefSeq and is a predicted model, not a curated record.